UAAUGUAUGGGGAUCUGCCCGAUAGAGGGGGAUAACUACUGGAAACGGUGGCUAAUACCGCAUAAUGUCUACGGACCAAAGCAGGGGCUCUUCGGACCUUGCACUAUCGGAUGAACCCAUAUGGGAUUAGCUAGUAGGUGGGGUAAAGGCUCGCCUAGGCGACGAUCUCUAGCUGGUCUGAGAGGAUGAUCAGCCACACUGGGACUGAGACACGGCCCAG
This 220-nucleotide ribosomal RNA is filed under the name uncultured bacterium. RNAcentral describes it as "partial 16S ribosomal RNA". It matches the Rfam family "Bacterial small subunit ribosomal RNA", at positions 111 to 334 of the family's 1533-position model. The record is from RNAcentral.